GACGAACGCUUUCUUCGUUCCUAAUACAUGCAAGUCGAGCGAAGUUUUUCUGGUGCUUGCCCCGGACAAACUUAGCGGCGAACGGGUGAGUAACACGUAAAGAACCUGCCUCAUAGACUGGGACAACUAUUGGAAACGAUAGCUAAUACCGGAUAACAGCAUUAACUGCAUGGUUGAUGUUUAAAAGUUGGUUUUGCUAACACUAUGAGAUGGCUUUGCGGUGCAUUAGCUAGUUGGUGGGGUAAAGGCCUACCAAGGCGACGAUGCAUAGCCGACCUGAGAGGGUGAUCGGCCACACUGGGACUGAGACACGGCCCAGACUCCUACGGGAGGCAGCAGUAGGGAAUCUUCCGCAAUGGGCGAAAGCCUGACGGAGCAACGCCGCGUGAGUGAAGAAGGAUUUCGGUUCGUAAAGCUCUGUUGUUAGGGAAGAAUGAUUGUGUAGUAACUAUACACAGUAGAGACGGUACCUAACCAGAAAGCCACGGCUAACUACGUG
RNAcentral lists this ribosomal RNA (499 nucleotides) under uncultured bacterium. RNAcentral's name for it is "partial 16S ribosomal RNA". It matches the Rfam family "Bacterial small subunit ribosomal RNA", at positions 28 to 507 of the family's 1533-position model. The record is from RNAcentral.